GGAUGUGGGGUUGCUUAGACAACCAGGAUGUUGGCUUAGAAGCAGCCACCAUUGAAAGAGUGCGUAAUAGCUCACUGGUCGAGUGACCCCGCGCCGAAAAUGUACCGGGGCUAAACAUAUUACCGAAACUGUGGAUGAACCUCUUCGGAGGUUCGUGGUAGGAGAGCGUUCUAAGGGCGGUGAAGUCAGACCGGAAGGACUGGUGGAGCGCUUAGAAGUGAGAAUGCCGGUAUGAGUAGCGAAAGAAGGGUGAGAAUCCCUUCCACCGAAUAUCUAAGGUUUCCUGAGGAAGGCUCGUCCGCUCAGGGUUAGUCGGGACCUAAGCCGAGGCCGAUAGGCGUAGGCGAUGGACAACAGGUAGAGAUUCCUGUACCAGUGCUAAUUGUUUAACCGAUGGGGUGACACAGAAGGAUAGGGAAUCGCACGAAUGGAAAUGUGCGUCCAAGCAGUGAGUGUGAGAAGUAGGCAAAUCCGCUUCUCGCGAAGCAUGAGCUGUGAUGGGGAAGGAAAUUAAGUACGGAAGUUCCUGAUUUCACGCUGUCAAGAAAAGCCUCUAGGAAGAGUAGUACUGCCCGUACCGCAAACCGACACAGGUAGAUGAGGAGAGAAUCCUAAGGUGAGCGAGAGAACUCUCGUUAAGGAACUCGGCAAAAUGACCCCGUAACUUCGGGAGAAGGGGUGCUCUAUUAGGGUGCAAGCCCGAGAGAGCCGCAGUGAAUAGGCCCAGGCGACUGUUUAGCAAAAACACAGGUCUCUGCAAAACCGUAAGGUGACGUAUAGGGGCUGACGCCUGCCCGGUGCUGGAAGGUUAAGAGGAGU
This 819-nucleotide ribosomal RNA is filed under the name Listeria monocytogenes. RNAcentral's name for it is "partial 23S ribosomal RNA". It matches the Rfam family "Bacterial large subunit ribosomal RNA", at positions 1071 to 1887 of the family's 2925-position model. Lineage: Bacteria; Bacillati; Bacillota; Bacilli; Caryophanales; Listeriaceae. The record is from RNAcentral.